GUUAACACAACAACAUGUUGUAAUCUAUCAUUUCACUGUCAGAGACUCAGAGUCAGUUUUCUACCUGUGGACUCUGUAGAGAGAAGAAGAGUCAGGACAAACUUCUGUCCUCACAGGGACACAAGUAAAGCAGGAAGUGUGUGUUAUGUUGUGUCGUGUCGUGUCGUGUCGUGUUGUGUUGUGUCGUGUCGUGUCGUGUUGUGUUGUGAGUCGAUGGAGUCGGAUCCUGUCUGCGUGUCAUUUUAACUCUGGGUCCAGACUGUGAGCGUCUGGUGUUGAACUGAACUUGUUGACGAGUCGUUUCCAUGAUGUUUACAUGAGUCUGAUGAACGGGAUUCAAACCAACACCCAUUGACGUCAUGUACUGGUUAUCAGGAUCUGAUCAGAACACGAAGGGGUGGGGCCCAUGCCUCUCCUUAGCCCCACCCCUUCUUUACCCCUGUAGCGGAGACGUGUCCUGUGGGGUCGAGUGGGUGGAGCCGAGGGGCGGGGCUCUACCUGUCCAAACCGGUCCUGACAGAUAACUCACUUCAAACGGAGGGGGUACCCAGAAUGCCUUGCGAGUCACCGGCCACCUGGGAGAGAGAUCCGUUAAUACUGAAGAUGAGUGGUUCUGAGGAGGAAGAGGACAGAGCAGAGUCUCCAGGGUCCAGCUGUCUGUCUCUGAAGAGUGACUGGUCCAUGGGAAAUCCUCCAGUCUUCAGUAAUGAACCUGGACCCUCACACACAGAAGGUCAGGACCACAGACUGAGAGCAGAGUCUCCAGGGUUCAGCUGUGUGUCUCUGAAGAGUGACUGGUCCAAAUAUGAGCCUCCAAACUUCAGUAAAGAACCUGGACCCUCACACACAGAAGGUGAGGACCACAAACUGAGAGCAGAGUCUCCAGGGUCCAGCUGUCUGUCUCUGAAGAGUGACUGGUCCAUGGGAAAUCCUCCAGUCUUCAGUAAUGAACCUGGACCCUCACACACAGAAGGUGAGGACCACAGACUGAGAGCAGAGUCUCCAGGGUUCAGCUGUGUGUCUCUGAAGAGUGACUGGUCCAUGGGAAAUCCUCCAGUCUUCAGUAAUGAACCUGGACCCUCACACACAGAGGAGAGGAGGAGGAGUCAUGUUUCUGAGGAGGAGCAGUCGUCCUACUGUGCUUCGUGUCAGGACGUCCUGAAGGAUCCAGUCUCCACCAGCUGUGGACACUGGUUCUGCAGACAGUGCAUCACCUCAUACUGGGACCAGUCUGGUUCUUCAGGAGACUCCUCCUGUCCCCAGUGUGGACAAAGAUCCAGAACAGGAGCUGGAGGUCAGACAGCCGAUCGUGGUCUGCAGGAGGUUUCAGAUGAACAUAAGCUCAGUGUGAGGAGGAGAUGUGAACAUGUGACUGAAGGAAGUGAUGAAACAGGAAGUAGAACCCUCCUCAACAGGAUCUACACUGAGCUCUACACCACAGAGGGACAGAGUGAAGAGGUUAAUACUCAACAUGAGGUGAGGCAGCUUGAGACGGCUUCCAAGAAGAAGAUCCUCCAGGACACUCCCAUCAAGGUCCACGACAUCUUUAAAGCCUCCACUGACCAGCAGAGCAGCAUCAGAGUCGUCCUGACCAACGGCGUCGCUGGCGUUGGAAAAACCUUCUCGGUGCAGAAGUUCGCUCUGGACUGGGCAGAGGGUUUAGAGAACCAGGAUGUGGGUCUGCUGGCUGUGCUUUCGUUCAGGGAGCUGAACCUGGUGAAGGACCAGCAGCACAGUCUUCUCACGCUGCUCCAUGUUUUCCAUCCAGCGUUACAGAAGCUCACUGCAGAGACGCUCGCUGUCUGUAAACCUUUGUUCAUCUUUGACGGCCUGGAUGAAAGCAGACCUUCUCUGGACUUCAACCACAGGGAGCUUGUGUCUGAGGUCACACAGAGGUCAUCAGUCAACGUGCUGCUGACAAACCUCAUCCGGGGGAAUCUGCUUCCCUCGGCUCUCGUCUGGAUAACCUCCAGACCUGCGGCGGCCAAUCAGAUCCCUACUGCAUGUGUUGACAGGGUCACAGAAGUACAAGGCUUCACUGAGGCCCAGAAGGAGGAGUACUUCAGGAGGAGAUUCAGUGAUGAAGAGCUGUGCAGCAGAAUCAUCUCACACAUCAAGACGUCCAGGAGCCUCCACAUCAUGUGUCAAAUCCCAGUCUUCUGCUGGAUCAGUGCUACAGUUCUGGAGCACAUGUUGACCACAGACCAGAGAGGAGAGCUGCCCAAGACCCUGACUGACCUGUACUCACACUUCCUGCUGGUUCAGACAAAGAGGAAGAACAACAAGUACGGUGAGGGACAUGAGACGAGUCCACAGCAGCGGACGGAGGCUGACAGGGACGUUCUCCUGAAGCUGGGGAGGCUGGCACUUAAACAUCUGGAGGAAGGAAACAUCAUGUUCUACCAAGAAGACCUGGAGCAGUGUGGUCUUAAUGUCACAGAGGCCUCGGUGUACUCAGGGGUCUGUACUGAGAUCUUCAGAAGAGAGUGUGUGAUCUUCCAGAAAUCAGUCUACUGCUUUGUUCAUCUGAGCGUUCAGGAGUUUCUGGCUGCAGUCUACAUGUUCCACUGUUACACCGAGAGGAACACAGAAGAACUCAACAACUUCUUGGGAACAUAUGGGGACACAGACAAUACCUCCUCCCUGGAUGACCUCCUGAAGAGAACCAUGGAGAAAUCCCUCAGCAGUACAAAUGGUCAUCUGGACCUGUUUGUUCGCUUCCUUCACGGCCUCAGUCUGGAGUCCAACCAGAGAGUCUUAGGAGGCCUGCUGGGUCGGACAGAGAACAAUCCAAAGAUCAUCAAGAGAACCUUAGGAGACCUGCUGGGUCGGACAGGGAACAAUCCAAAGAUCAUCAAGAGAGUCUUAGGAGGCCUGCUGGGUCGGACAGGAAACAAUCCAAAGAUCAUCCAGAGAGUCAUCAACAACCUGAAGGAGAUGAAGAGUGAUGACAGUUCUCCUGACAGAAGCAUCAACAUCUUCCACUGUCUGACUGAGAUGAACGACCACUCAGUUCAUCAGCAGAUGAAACAGUUCCUGACGUCAGAGAACAAAUCAAAGGAGAAACUCUCUGAGAUCCACUGCUCAGCUCUGGCCUACAUGCUGCAGAUGUCAGAGGAGGUUCUGGAUGAGUUGGACCUGAAGAAGUUCAAGACAUCAGACCAGGGUCGACGGAGACUCAUCCCAGCUGUGAGGAACUGCAGGAAGGCUAAACUCAGUGGUUGUGAACUCUCAGAGACUCACUGGGAAGUCGUGGCCUCAGCUCUGAAGUCAGACCCCUCACAUCUGAGAGAACUGGAUCUGAGUAAGAACGAGCUGCUGGAUUCAGGAGUGAAGCUGCUGUGUUCUGGACUGGAGAGUCCAAACUGUCGACUGGAGACUCUGAGGUUGAAGAACUGCAGUCUGUCAGAGAUCAGCUGUUCUUCUCUGGCUUCAGCUCUGAGGUCAAACCCCUCUCAUCUGAGAGAACUGGAUCUGAGUGACAACAACGACCUGCAGGACUCAGGAGUGAAGGAGCUGUGUGGUUUUCUACAGAGUCCAACCUGUCGACUGGAGAAUCUGAGGUUGAAGGACUGCAGUCUGUCAGAGAUCAGCUGUUCUUCUCUGGCUUCAGCUCUGAGGUCAAACCCCUCUCAUCUGAGAGUACUGGAUCUGAGUGACAACUACCUGCAGGACUCAGGAGUGAAGGAGCUGUGUGGUUUUCUACAGAGUCCAACCUGUCGACUGGAGACUCUGAGGUUGAGGAACUGCAGUCUGUCAAAGAGCAGCUGUUCUUCUCUGGCUUCAGCUCUGAGGUCAAACCCCUCUCAUCUGAAAGAACUGGAUCUGACUAAAAACAGGCUGCAGGACUCAGGAGUGAAGGAGCUGUGUGGUUUUCUACAGAGUCCAACCUGUCAACUGGAGACUCUGAGGUUGAGUCGCUGCAGACUGUCAGAGAUCAGCUGUUCUUCUCUGGCUUCAGCUCUGAGGUCAAACCCCUUUCAUCUGAGAGAACUGGAUCUGAGUCUAAACAACAACCUGAAGGACUCAGCAGUGAAGGAGCUUCUUGAUCUACAGCAGAGUUCAACCUGUCGACUGGAGACUCUGAGGAAGUGAAGCUGGACCACAGCUGACAGCCUCACACGAGGGACAGAGACGGUGUCGUCUUCAUCUGAUCUGAGACAGUUUGUCCUCUCACUUCAUCAGUGAAGAACUGAUCAGGUGGAUCUUUGUCACAGCUCUGAGAUCAGUGGGACUGAAGCCUCUCCUCAUCACAUGGUGGUGGGGGAGAUCUUCGACGAGCAGAGUGUGAAGAGGACAGUGUGUGUGGACGGAGGCUGAGAUGUGUCCUGAGGAUCCAUACAAAUGUCAAACUAAUAAUUUAUUAGCACUUAAACAUCUUUUUUUUGAAGAAAUUGUACUUUAUGAUUCUUGUUGUUCUGGGUUUGAUCCCUCAUGGUUAAUGCACUUAUUGUAAGUUGCUUUGGAUAAAGGCGUCAGGUAAAUGAAAUGUAAUGUAAAGGCAGAGUGGAGACAGAGCUCCAGAGGAAUCAGAGGAGGUGGUUGUAAUAUGUAACUUUACCACUAGAUGGCCCUCCACACCGAUUGUGUUUAUUCAUGUGUGUAGAACCACAUUCUGUGUAUAUGUUUGUUUAUGAUCUUAAAGUUCCUGGAUUCACGUCACAAAUUGAUUUAGUUCAACACAAAGUUCAACACAAUCAAAUCCCUUUGAGUUUAAAAUCAGAGUUUUGUCUUUGACACAAAAGAUCAAAACUCUGGACUUAAAAAUGGGACGUUUUCAUUUCUGCAUCAGGUGCAGAGCGGUGGUGGCUUUUCUACUUUUGACCCACAGGUGGCGCUGCAGUAUAACAGCAGCACAUCCCAGUCAAAGCCUUUAUAUUCAGUCUAUGAGUCAAACACAUGGAUCAUUUCCUCUGUGACAAACCAGAUGUAACGAGAAGAAAAACAUCUCAGAGAGAAAAGUUCUGUUUCUACUUGUCUCUGCUUUAAUGCUCAAUAAACAUCCUUCCACCGAC
This is an RNA transcript of Pleuronectes platessa (European plaice), 5015 nucleotides long. It is a transcript of the gene named NACHT, LRR and PYD domains-containing protein 12, with no coding region annotated. The record is from RefSeq and is a predicted model, not a curated record. The transcript has 14 exons. Lineage: Eukaryota; Metazoa; Chordata; Actinopteri; Pleuronectiformes; Pleuronectidae.